GUAGGGGGCAAGCGUUGUCCGGAAUUAUUGGGCGUAAAGCGCGCGCAGGCGGUCAUGUAAGUCUGGUGUUUAAUCCCGGGGCUCAACCCCGGAUCGCACUGGAAACUGUGUGACUUGAGUGCAGAAGAGGAGAGUGGAAUUCCACGUGUAGCGGUGAAAUGCGUAGAGAUGCGGAGGAACACCAGUGGCGAAGGCGACUCUCUGGGCUGUAACUGACGCUGAGGCGCGAAAGCGUGGGGGGGAGCAAACAGGAUUAGAUACCCUGGUAGUCCACGCCGUAAACGAUGAGUGCUAGGUGUUAGGGGGUUUCGAUACCCUUGGUGCCGAAGUUAACACAUUAAGCACUCCGCCUGGGAGUACGGUCGCAAGACUG
This 373-nucleotide ribosomal RNA is filed under the name uncultured organism. RNAcentral's name for it is "partial 16S ribosomal RNA". It matches the Rfam family "Bacterial small subunit ribosomal RNA", at positions 527 to 896 of the family's 1533-position model. The record is from RNAcentral.